This 253-nucleotide ribosomal RNA is filed under the name uncultured bacterium. RNAcentral's name for it is "partial 16S ribosomal RNA". It matches the Rfam family "Bacterial small subunit ribosomal RNA", at positions 524 to 776 of the family's 1533-position model. The record is from RNAcentral.
UACGUAGGGGGCUAGCGUUGUCCGGAUUUAUUGGGCGUAAAGAGCGUGUAGGCGGCCAGGUAGGUCUGCUGUGAAAACUCGAGGCUCAACCUCGAGACGUCGGCGGAAACCAUCUGGCUAGAGUCCGGAAGAGGAGAGUGGAAUUCCUGGUGUAGCGGUGAAAUGCGCAGAUAUCAGGAGGAACACCGGUGGCGAAGGCGGGUCUCUGGGCCUUACCUGACGCUGAGGCGCGAAAGCUAGGGGAGCGAACAGG